AUGCUAGAUCAAGUAGACAUGAUUUCAUACAUAACUGAAGAGAACAAAAGGAGAAAGAGGAAAAUGAUAGUAUUGACAGAACUUUACUUUGAAUCUGUUCUUCUCGGAAUGGCGUACCUUAUUUCACAAAGAGCACCUCCUGGAUUAGGUAGUUUUAGCGAUGAUGAACACAAACACACACUUAGGAAGUACUUGUUGAAGGAUAUGUAUGAUGACUUACAAGUGGCAUGCUAUGAUCAGCUACGUUUAACGAAAAGAAAUUUUCAUGAUUUAUGCACCAUGUUGCGUGAGAGGUGUGGUCUGCGUGAUAGUGUGUAUGUGGUUGUGGAAGAAAAGGUUGCCAUGUUCUUGCUAGUAGUGGGUCACGGUCUGAAAAUGAGGUUGCUUUGA
Molecule: ribosomal RNA, 390 nt
Filed under: Triticum aestivum (bread wheat)
Lineage: Eukaryota; Viridiplantae; Streptophyta; Magnoliopsida; Poales; Poaceae
Description: partial small subunit ribosomal RNA
Source: RNAcentral